GCGGGCGUAAUUCAGGGGCAGAAUGCAGGCUUCCCAAGCCUGACGUCGGGGGUUCGAAUCCCCUCGCCCGCU
This 72-nucleotide transfer RNA is filed under the name Candidatus Omnitrophica bacterium 4484_49. RNAcentral describes it as "tRNA-Gly". It matches the Rfam family "tRNA". Rfam says of the family: Transfer RNA (tRNA) molecules are approximately 80 nucleotides in length. Their secondary structure includes four short double-helical elements and three loops (D, anti-codon, and T loops). RNAcentral also lists the same sequence under 2 other names. The record is from RNAcentral. Lineage: Bacteria; Pseudomonadati; Candidatus Omnitrophota.